Podarcis raffonei (Aeolian wall lizard) is the source of this 615-nucleotide long non-coding RNA. RefSeq lists it as uncharacterized. The record is from RefSeq and is a predicted model, not a curated record. NCBI's taxonomy places the organism in Eukaryota, Metazoa, Chordata, Lepidosauria, Squamata, Lacertidae. The transcript is spliced from 2 exons.
UGGUACCUCGGGUUAAGUACUUAACUCGUUCCGGAGGUCCGUUCUUAACCUGAAACUGUUCUUAACCUGAAGCACCACUUUAGCUAAUGGGGCCUCCCGCUGCUGCUGCACUGCCGGAGCACAAUUUCUGUUCUCAUCCUGAAGCAAAGUUCUUAACCCAAGGUACUAUUUCUGUCUGUAACCUGAAGCGUCUGUAACCCAAGGUACCACUGUAAACAUGCCUGCAUCUUUAAGCCCCUGAAAGCAUGUUAUAGCUUAUAAUGGACUGUUUAGUUAAAUCAAAAGAUAAAAAGUAUUACUAAAAUAAAACCCUAGCUCUGUCGAAAUCACGUCCACUUCAGUGAAGACAUGAUUUUCUUAUCUAAGAUUUGGUUGCACACUUAGUAAUUUGACCAGUUGUCAAGAAUCCAACCUGUUAGUGCUAUGCAAAAUGGUAUUUGUUGGUAUCCCAUUGUGAAGGAAAAAAAUUGCUAAAUAUUCUAAAGUACAGGGACAACAUAAGGACUUGAUGAGUGUGUGAUCAUACACGUGUCUUAGUUAGGGUAUGCAUAUCAGCAGCCAGGUAAAUAAGAAUGCUGGCUGAAGAUUGCAUUGUGAAUGUUGUACUGCCAGGUA